CUUUUCAGUUCUGUCUUCCUGAGGCUGCUGUUUCUGGGCAUGGCCAGGGGAUCUUCAGACUUUACAAACCAGUUGUGCAGAGCCAGGCAUUUCAAUAAGGAACAAAAUGCUGAGUAACAACAUGAAGUCAGAGUGUUGCUUGCCAAGAGCUGGGAGGCCUGGGUGGUUUCCCAAUCUUAAAGAAGCAGAAGGAUAUUAAAGUGAGCCUCCCAAAGGAAAACGUGGAUCUACUUACCAACGCAGAAAAUGAUACACACGGAUUCGAUUUAGGCACGCUACAUUCAAAUGACUUGGAAGAGCAGUUUCUCUGAGCCAGGAUACUAAAGUCCGUGUUUAGGAAAGAGCCACAUUGUAUGUUUACCCUACCACAAAGAUACAGUGCUGGCAGAGGAAACAGCAGCAAUGAUGCUCUGCGAGCCUGACUCAGGGCCAGCAGUGAUGGCAGCCCAAGAAUUCUGGAGGAAAGUGGCUCUGGGAAUUGAACAGUGGCUCAGUGAUGUUGGGGCCACCAAGUCUGCAAUUCUCCCGACCUGUUCUUCACGGUUGUAAGAUGACUGCUGCAAUUCUCGGCAUCAUGUGCAUGUUA
This 586-nucleotide long non-coding RNA is filed under the name Pan troglodytes (chimpanzee). Its description in RNAcentral is "lincRNA". Lineage: Eukaryota; Metazoa; Chordata; Mammalia; Primates; Hominidae. The record is from RNAcentral.